This 253-nucleotide ribosomal RNA is filed under the name uncultured bacterium. Its description in RNAcentral is "partial 16S ribosomal RNA". It matches the Rfam family "Bacterial small subunit ribosomal RNA", at positions 524 to 776 of the family's 1533-position model. The record is from RNAcentral.
UACAGAGGUCUCAAGCGUUGUUCGGAUUCAUUGGGCGUAAAGGGCGCGUAGGCUGCGGGGCAAGUCGGGUGUGAAAUCUCAGGGCUCAACCCUGAAACUGCACUCGAUACUGCUCUGCUUGAGGACUGGAGAGGAGACUGGAAUUCACGGUGUAGCAGUGAAAUGCGUAGAGAUCGUGAGGAAGACCAGUGGCGAAGGCGGGUCUCUGGACAGUUCCUGACGCUGAGGCGCGAAGGCCAGGGGAGCAAACGGG